UGUGCCAUGAUGAGUGGCGCAGGGGUACGGACCUCAGCCGGUGAUGGGGGCUGAGCGCUGCUGCAGACUCUGUCAGAGGACGAGUGGUUCACUGACGGACUGCGGCAGCGCGACACAGACGCCUGACUGAGCUCA
Parambassis ranga (Indian glassy fish) is the source of this 135-nucleotide small nucleolar RNA. The record is from Ensembl. NCBI's taxonomy places the organism in Eukaryota, Metazoa, Chordata, Actinopteri, Ambassidae.